RNAcentral lists this long non-coding RNA (322 nucleotides) under Dromaius novaehollandiae (emu). RNAcentral's name for it is "lncRNA (ENSDNVG00000003312.1)". The record is from RNAcentral. Lineage: Eukaryota; Metazoa; Chordata; Aves; Casuariiformes; Dromaiidae.
GGGUCAGGCGGGCCCAGCCGAGGUGCCCCCGAGAAGCACCCCCCAGGCCCAGCCACCGUGGGUCAGAGGAGUCAUCUGGAAAGAGGGGAGAGAAGCAGYGUGCGUUGUGGUUGUGGAUCAGUCCCGCUCGGCUCUCCCUGAAGUAGUUUGAUUGGAGAUGAAGCAUGAGAAGGCCGCAAAGUGGUGAAACUCUCUGGAGAUGGGAUGAGCAGCCGAGGAAGUCAUGUGAGUGAAGGAAGCAGAGGCCAGCGAGAGGUCUUGGCCGACAGAGAGGUGAAGCGGGGAUAUCUGUGAGCAGUUCCAGAUGUCRACUUUCACUAGG